Molecule: long non-coding RNA, 382 nt
Filed under: Malus domestica (apple)
Lineage: Eukaryota; Viridiplantae; Streptophyta; Magnoliopsida; Rosales; Rosaceae
Description: long non-coding RNA (MDOM_LNC003254)
Source: RNAcentral
UCAACUCCACCGUAUCUUUCCCCCUUCUCUCGGCAUUCACUAUCGAUCUCAAUGCAUUAUUCAAUAUCAUUCUCCCCAUCCUUAUGUGUGCAAAAUCCAACCCUCAAAUGUCACGCACCCAAAGGAAGGCUCUGUUAGAAACAAAAAGGUAUUGCUGUGAUCUUUAACCCUCUUAGCUGUGUAGUUGGAGUGGUUAGCUGUGAAGUAAUACAUACAAAAAUUUGAAAUAUUGAGGUAUUGCUGUGAUCUUUAACCCUCUUAGCUGUGUAGUUGGAGUGGUUAGCUGUGAAGUAAUACAUACAAAAAUUUGAAAUAUUGAAAAGUAUACCUAGAACAACUAGAAAAAUAGGUUACAUUCCUGCACUUAAUUCGUACAUACCAG